GUCAGGAUGGUCGAGCGGGCUAAGGCUCUGCGAUCAGAUCGCAGGUUACUUCUGUGACCGUGGGUUUGAAUCGCACAUCUGACA
Molecule: non-coding RNA, 84 nt
Organism: Trichonephila clavipes
Lineage: Eukaryota; Metazoa; Arthropoda; Arachnida; Araneae; Nephilidae
Source: the annotation of a GenBank genome assembly